GAUUAAUGUCGUCACAAAUGUUCCGACGUACAACAUAACAAUGGAUGAUAUCCCAGAAACGUCAGUCUAUGAAGUCAAAAAAAUUGCGAUGUACGAUGUCACCGCGAUAUCAUCACACACUCACAAAGGUUUUGAUUUUUUCCAGCAUGGCUUACAGAAUAUCUUUUGUAAUUAUCGGAAAAUCUGGCAAACCAGAAAUUAAUAUUUCCCCACAAAUGACGCGCGAUAAAUUCCCGGCCAUGCCGGGUACACCGGCUACACAGUAUUGAACCCUAUAGGGAAGGGGUGUAGCCCCCGUAAAACUCGUUCUUACGGAGGGUCAUUUAAGGACAGUACAAUAUUGAAAGGGUCGAAUUAAAGCGCAAACCUAUAUUGCGAGAGCCAUAACUAAAUUCAACUCGAUUCCAUUACCAAUUGUUUAUACUUUACCAUAAUAGUUGUUUCACGAGAAAUUAAAAUUUGAAAAAUUAGGAACUAAUAGGUAAAUUAAGUUUAUUUAACUUUUUAUUCGAAUUUACAAGAUUUUAUUAUAUUAUCCUGUUUACAAAUUAUCACUAUAUAUUUUUUGGAAAAUAAUGGUUGACAAAUACGCCGAUCAGCUAACCGCGCUCGAAAAGUACCAGAGACAGUGCGGCUAAUGUACGCUGUGUAUAUACUGUGUUUGAUACGCGUACUCUAAGGAAUCAGUCAUAUCGAAAACGAUCGAUGUCACAUGGGUCAAAACUAUAUAUUAUGUAAAUAUCCGAUUUAAAUAAAAUUCGUAUAUAUUGUUAGGUUCCGCUAGGGCGGAGGUGUCAAACUGGCGGCCCUCGAUGUGAUUUUUUUGUGGCCCCCCAACGGUCUUAACUAAAAUGAAAAUAAAAACAGUAGGCUAUGUUACG
RNAcentral lists this long non-coding RNA (881 nucleotides) under Androctonus crassicauda. Lineage: Eukaryota; Metazoa; Arthropoda; Arachnida; Scorpiones; Buthidae. The record is from RNAcentral.